CCUUGUAAAGCCGCUCAACUUUUCAAUAAAAUAUUCUAAAUUGGCAAAACAAUAUACGCUCAAACAAUAUAUUUUUGAAAUCGGCACCAAGCAUCUCCACCUCCCUAUAUCUCAACCGAUGACCAAAAUAGCCGACACCGUCACAGUCGCUAACACCUUCACAAUCACCGGUUUCGAGAUUGUUACUGGCAUUUUUCUCCUUCACUUUCUUGUCUUCAUCGUCAAAGUAUUUUUCUUACCAGAAGAACCACUGCACAGUUGUACAACAACAGUAGAGGGACAACUACACAAUUGUGCAACAACUGCAGAAGGACAACUAUGAGUUCUGCUACAACAGUUUUAUUUUUUGGGUAAUUCAGAAGCAAAAAAGGUUUUAGGCCUACUUUACUGAAAGAUAUUUGGAAAUUUUCACCGGAGAAGACAGUUGAUGUGCUGUUUAAUAAAUGCCUCAAAGUAGCAACGCCACUUCAGGUGAACAGGUCAUACAGUUUGAUGUUCGAUAAUUUAGCAGUCGGAAGAUUUCAAAAUGAUGAGAAGUUGCGGAAAUUAUUUGAAGACUAUCAUUUUGGAUUAUUACUAUGAUGACAUUAGCUAUUUGGUCCAAAGAAUAUAUUUUUAUGUUUUAAGUUACGAUGAUAUUAAUAUUUUUGAUUAGUACUUCCUUUUGUUUGUUAAGAUUUAAUAAGAUAUAUUACAGUUUUUUGAAUUAAUAUUAAUAUAUUUUAUUA
Molecule: long non-coding RNA, 728 nt
Organism: Nicotiana attenuata
Lineage: Eukaryota; Viridiplantae; Streptophyta; Magnoliopsida; Solanales; Solanaceae
Exons: 5
Source: RefSeq, a predicted model, not a curated record